CCAGAGGCAACUGGUCUGUGAAGCUGCUCCUUCCGUCAAUCUCUCCAGCCUUGACACCUCUUCUUCCCUAAAUGAAGGGGUGAGGGAGCCCCAGGCAGAGGGAAGAGGUGGGGAGGGCCUCCUGGGUUGGGUGAGGGUGGCCUUGUUUGUGGUCCUGAGGGCAGGGGACCCAUAAGCUUUCUCAGUCCUUCCUGGUCCCUAACUCCCUCUUGGCUCUGUGAAUGGCUCGCACACACUGGCUCUCGGGAGCAGACGUUGCGAUCCAGGAUGAGACAUAAAGUGGGUUCUUCCCAUGCACUGGUCUGUCUGGCACAAGCCACUCACCUGCACUUUCCAUCUCCAUAGCAUCUCUCUGAGGCAGGAUCUUCAUGCUAGAAAGCUAAGGUCGGAAAAGUGAGGAGAGGCCACAACCAGGAGGCACGGGGCCAGGAUUCCAGCCAGGCCUGCUGGACCAGCCAUGGGUGGUCAGCGAAGGCUAAGGGCCCUGGGAACGUGUCCUGCCAAGAUGUUUAUGAACUCUCAAAGCCCUGGGUAGCAGACGCCUAAUUGCAACCAGGAGAGAAGAGCAAACCAGCCUGCAUGACGGCCCAUUUUUCUGUUUCCAGGGCCUCUAAGCGUUUUCACUCUGCAUUUCUGAGGGGUGGCUCCCGGGCCAGCCCUGUUAGAAUCUGACACUUGGGGACCCAAUGUCUGGGUCUGCCAGAUUCCCACCCACUCUGCUCAGCUUUCCCAUCUACCUAGACCUGGAAAGGUGGACUGAGGCUGCUUUAUUGGGUCUGGAUCCGAACACACUUCUCUUUUACUCCCCACAGCAUGUCCCCAUCACUCCACAGCUCCCCCAAACCUGAAAGCUUGUCUAGGGGGAGGGGAGAAGGGGCGGAGGAAGAGGCAGAGAGGAGGUGGAGACAGAAGAGGAAAGAAGGGGUGAAGAUGCAUGAAGUCACAUGAGCACCCACUGGUGCUCCCAGAGCCUCCAGGGAAAACAGCCCUGAAGGGCCCUGGGGGAGAGGAAAUGGAUUUCAACAGGAUUCACAGAAAGCAGGUCAGACCUCGGGGAGAAUUCCUGGCUGUGCAAGAUCAACUCGGCUCUCCUUCCUGUCUUUGCUUCCUGGCCACACGUGUGGGUCAAAGGCCCUGAACACACCCUCCCUGGGCCUCCCAGCCUCUGUCCCUGCCUGGAAGACGUCCUAGGGCAAGAUGCCGCAUCUUGGAGAUCUCUCUUACUGGGGCUGGGCUAACUCUGGCUGUGCUGUCCCUGUUCUCCUCACCAGCGCGGUUUUCCAGGAGCCAAGAAGCAAUUCUGGAAUGUACAGGACGCGGUAUUGGUCCCUGAUCUGAUGUGCACGGUCAAGAGGGAGAGACAGAAAAAAAGCAAGCGCACAGGCGCACACAUGAUCACUACCGGAGCGAAGCGCGGCGCAGGGAAGAGCGGGGUCUGAGCCAAGGGGAGAGGGGCGGGCCCAUUUCUGCACUUCACAGCGAGGCCUCGGGCAAGGCGGCAGGCAGGCCAGGUCAGACCCGGCUUUGAGGCUCUGGUGGCGGGCUGGGAUUUAUUUUAAGGGACAUGGAACGCCACCGCAGGUUUGGGGGAGGGGCAGGAUUAAAGGAGAAGAUGCGCUCAGCACGUUAUAUUUAGUGGCUGACGCGCCGGAAGGGCUCGUUACCCGCAGCUACCACUGCGCCCCACGCCCGGAGCGCGGCCCCAGCUUCGCCCCCCGGGGCAGGGAUCCCCGGUCCCCGCCUUCACCACCUGGGGCAGGAACCCCAGUCCCCCUAUCCUGUCUUCACUCCUCGGGGCAGCGACCCCGGCCUCCGCCUUCGUCCCCCGGGGCAGGGACCCACGGUCCCCGCCUUCGCCCCGCGAGCAAGGAUCCCAACCCGCCAGUGCUGGAGACGAAGAGAGUGAGGGCGGAACCUGGCCCGGCGGCCUCCCAGCCAGGGUGGACAAAGCUGUCCCGGCACGCUUCGGCAGAGGGGAAACUGAGGCCAGGGGACUGAGUCCGCAGGCUCGCAGAGCGGGGGCCUGGGGCGGGGCCGGCACGCGCGGCGGGCGGGGCCUGGCCCCGCCCCUCC
RNAcentral lists this long non-coding RNA (2073 nucleotides) under Equus asinus (donkey). Its description in RNAcentral is "lncRNA (ENSEASG00005024406.1)". Lineage: Eukaryota; Metazoa; Chordata; Mammalia; Perissodactyla; Equidae. The record is from RNAcentral.